AUGUUCUCAACCUUAUUGGUUUCUUUGAGACCAACAAGGCUUGGACUUUGGAGGUUUUCCUGCUGGCCUUGUUUUGAAGUCAGCUCCUCCUAAAUGAAUUGGUGGGGUCCGCUUUAGCUGAUCCUUGACGUGAUAAGCAUUUGUUCUACGUCAUGUCGGCUGGGAACCUGCUUUCUAACCUUAGAGUUACAUGUAACUCGACCGUUUUUAUAAACC
This 216-nucleotide unclassified non-coding RNA is filed under the name uncultured Russula. Its description in RNAcentral is "sequence contains ITS2". Lineage: Eukaryota; Fungi; Basidiomycota; Agaricomycetes; Russulales; Russulaceae. The record is from RNAcentral.